RNAcentral lists this transfer RNA (71 nucleotides) under Camelus bactrianus (Bactrian camel). It matches the Rfam family "tRNA". Rfam says of the family: Transfer RNA (tRNA) molecules are approximately 80 nucleotides in length. Their secondary structure includes four short double-helical elements and three loops (D, anti-codon, and T loops). Further hydrogen bonds mediate the characteristic L-shaped molecular structure. tRNAs have two regions of fundamental functional importance: the anti-codon, which is responsible for specific mRNA codon recognition, and the 3' end, to which the tRNAs corresponding amino acid is attached (by aminoacyl-tRNA synthetases). tRNAs cope with the degeneracy of the genetic code in two manners: having more than one tRNA (with a specific anti-codon) for a particular amino acid; and 'wobble' base-pairing, i.e. permitting non-standard base-pairing at the 3rd anti-codon position. RNAcentral also lists the same sequence under 2 other names. The record is from Rfam by way of RNAcentral. Lineage: Eukaryota; Metazoa; Chordata; Mammalia; Artiodactyla; Camelidae.
GGGUAUUAUCUCAGUGGUCGAGCGCCUGCAUAACAGGCAGGAGGUCCUGGGUUCAAUCCCCAGGAUUUCCA